This is a long non-coding RNA of Athene cunicularia (burrowing owl), 2213 nucleotides long. RefSeq lists it as uncharacterized. The transcript is spliced from 2 exons. The record is from RefSeq and is a predicted model, not a curated record. Lineage: Eukaryota; Metazoa; Chordata; Aves; Strigiformes; Strigidae.
GCAGGGCGGGCGGGCAGCGCCGCGUUUCUCAGGCUGCUGUUCUGCCUGCGGUGCUGAAGUGGGUUAUUUUUUUUUCCCCAGCUCUCCUCCUGCCCCCAAGAUUUGGGAUGAGGGAGCUAAAACCCACCUGCUCCGUGAUCCCACCGCCACACCUCUGCCAGGCUGGCAAUGUGCAGGGGGCUCUCGGGGUUUUUCUCCGGGCAAGGCAGCAGCGCACAGUUCCCGCGAGAGCACCCCAAAUUCUGCACCCAAAUCGGUAGCAUCACGUCAGUAUUGGUGGUCUAGUGCGAGGUCCGAGGGAUUAGCUUGUAGGGGAGGGAUGGAUUUGCUGUUAAAAACCAAAGGAGGAAGAGCGUGCUGCAUUCGUUCAUUCCUUAUGGUUGGAAAUUACAACCCCUUGGCAGAUUAAAGCAUGACCCAGAGAUGCAAUAAAUUCGAAGUUUGGAAUUUAAUUUCUUCAGUGUCCCACCGAGUUUUCUUGAAGAAAGUCAUAUAAUCGACCUUUUUACCAUCUGUGGGGUUGACGCUGGUGCCCGUCACAGGAACUGUCAGCCCUGGGAGGGGACUGGAGCCGCCCGGUCAGGCAGCACAGGCAUCCUGGCAGUGAUGGCAGAUAAUCCCCCUUCGCUCUCCCCUUCAUGUUUUUGGAGCUGAAGUACCUGUGCUCUACCCCACUCGUUUCUGAGUGCCCGUGCAAUGAGCUGUGUAUGUAACAGAGCAGUGUUUCAGAUACCUCUACUGUCAUUUUUCAAAUUUCUCAGGAGUUUCAUAGAAAUGAUUAAUGAUUUUAGCUGGAAAGAGUUAAUCGAGUGAGGAAAAACUCAUCCUCCUUUCCUUCCUUCCUUCCUUCUUCUCAGUCUUCCCUCUACCCAUGGUACACCUCAUCUUUGUUUAUCCUUUCUCGUCCCAUUUGGGGGGGAUUUCUACCCCUGGGUUCCUCUCUGCCAUUUUAUCCAGGUUGUCCCACUGCCGUGGAGUCUAGCUCCAGUGUGCCUUCCUUUCCGUCUCCCUGGGCCUUAUUUCCCUACCUCACUAACCCUUUUUUCAUUCCAUAUUCCCUUCCUCAGAUCAUCCUUAAAGGAGAAAGAGGCCGGAGCUGGGAUAUAAAGUAGUCUUCUAGGAGUACUGCCAGAACUGAUUUGUUUUACUCUGCUGCUGCUGCUGCUGUUGCUGUUCUGCUGUGUCAUGGGAAGAGAGUUACCCAGCCACACCAACCCUCGGAAACGGCACCUCAGGCAGAGCCGCGCGCUGCAAACCUGAGCCGUGUUUUACAAAGCUGAAGGUUUCUGUUCCUUGGAAAGGCCUGAAGAAGCCUAAGGCUGUGUCUGCCUGUGAAUGGAAAAGGUUGGACUAAACACCGGCGUGUGCAUACACGUGCAUACACACGCGCAGGCACAGGAUUUAAAGCAUCCCAUCGAAGUGCACAUAUAGGAAAAUCCUUCAUCAUGUGAUAGGCUUUAAUAUCUGCCUUAAAAUUAAUCCCUAACUGAUGGACUCCGUGUUGUGGCAGAUCACAAGAGGCUCAAUAGCUGAGGUUCCUGUGCAGGUUUUUAAAACUGCCAAAUAAAAUCCCCCGUUUGCUGUUGGAUUAAUUUGUGUUUUCACAGCCGUUACCUGGGAAAUGCUCAUCUUGUGAAAGCAAGUAAGAAAACUUUUAUCGGGCUCGAGUCCUGUUUUUCCUCAAUAAAAAUAAAAGACCCUUGUCAUGGGGUCAGGACAAGGUCCAAUACUAUUCCACAAGGAAAUGGUUAAAGGGCCCAGAGUUCGUCAGUUCCUCUGCUAAGAGAUAACAGUCCAGGGUUUUAUUAGAUCUUGAGCUUUGGAGAUGGUCCUGCUUAUUCGUCAACGUGGUCUUUACUUCUUUUGUGUUCAUUUUUGUCCCUGAAACUGAAUCUUCUCGUUUCACUUCUCUUUCUAAUUUGUUUCACUCUUUAGUUCCCAUGUGUUAGAAAGUGCAGUUUCAUUUAGACUCCCGACAGAAGAGAAGAAAGCCCGGUUCCAGAAAGCAAUUUGCACUAAUAUAUUUUCUUUGCCACUCACAUGAAAACAUUACUGCUAAAACAGAUCUAGGUAUAAACAGUGCUGACAGGCCCUGAAAAACAAAACCAAAUUGUGAAACUGAGGCAAAUAGCCCAGAGAACCUGAAAUGUUCUGGUUUCUAAAACACUGGCUGCUGUCAAAAAGAGGGUAAAAUAAAGCUUUGUUUACAUGUA